AGAGUUUGAUCAUGGCUCAGAUUGAACGCUGGCGGCAUGCCUUACACAUGCAAGUCGAACGGUAACGGGCCUUCGGGCGCCGACGAGUGGCGAACGGGUGAGUAAUGUAUCGGAACGUACCUUUCAGUGGGGAUAACGUAGCGAAAGUUACGCUAAUACCGCAUAUUCUGUGAGCAGGAAAGCAGGGGAUCGCAAGACCUUGCGCUGAUUGAGCGGCCGAUAUCAGAUUAGCUAGUUGGUGAGGUAAAGGCUCACCAAGGCGACGAUCUGUAGCGGGUCUGAGAGGAUGAUCCGCCACACUGGAACUGAGACACGGUCCAGACUCCUACGGGAGGCAGCAGUGGGGAAUUUUGGACAAUGGGGGCAACCCUGAUCCAGCCAUGCCGCGUGAGUGAAGAAGGCCUUCGGGUUGUAAGGCUCUUUCGGCCGGGAAGAAAUCGUAUGGGUUAAUACCCUGUGCGGAUGACGGUACCGGCAUAAGAAGCACCGGCUAACUACGUG
This 501-nucleotide ribosomal RNA is filed under the name uncultured bacterium. RNAcentral's name for it is "bacterial SSU rRNA". It matches the Rfam family "Bacterial small subunit ribosomal RNA", at positions 8 to 507 of the family's 1533-position model. The record is from RNAcentral.